UACGGAGGGUGCGAGCGUUGUCCGGAAUCACUGGGCGUAAAGGGCGCGUAGGUGGCCCGUCAAGCGCGCGGUGAAAGCCCGGGGCUCAACCCCGGGUCGGCCGUGCGGACUGGCGGGCUCGAGCACUGUAGGGGCGGGUGGAAUUCCGGGUGUAGCGGUGGAAUGCGUAGAUAUCAGGAGGAACACCGAUGGCGAAGGCAGGUCUCUGGGCUGACACUGACGCUCAUGCACGAAAGCGUGGGGAGCAAACAGG
RNAcentral lists this ribosomal RNA (253 nucleotides) under uncultured bacterium. RNAcentral's name for it is "partial 16S ribosomal RNA". It matches the Rfam family "Bacterial small subunit ribosomal RNA", at positions 524 to 776 of the family's 1533-position model. The record is from RNAcentral.